This 393-nucleotide ribosomal RNA is filed under the name uncultured bacterium. RNAcentral's name for it is "partial 16S ribosomal RNA". It matches the Rfam family "Bacterial small subunit ribosomal RNA", at positions 523 to 918 of the family's 1533-position model. The record is from RNAcentral.
AUACGUAGGGAGCAAGCGUUAUCCGGAUUUAUUGGGUGUAAAGGGUGCGUAGACGGAUAAACAAGUUAGUUGUGAAAUACCUCGGCUUAACUGAGGAACUGCAACUAAAACUAUAUAUCUUGAGUACUGGAGGGGAAAGCGGAAUUCCUAGUGUAGCGGUGAAAUGCGUAGAUAUUAGGAAGAACACCGGUGGCGAAGGCGGCUUUCUGGACAGCAACUGACGUUGAGGCACGAAAGUGUGGGGAGCAAACAGGAUUAGAUACCCUGGUAUUCCACGCCGUAAACGAUGAUGACUAACCGUCGGCGAUAGACAGCCGGUGGCCAAGCGAAAGCGAUAAGUCAUCCACCUGGGGAGUACGUCGGCAACGAUGAAACUCAAAUGAAUUGGCGGGG